AACGGAGGGGCGAGCGUUGCCCGGAUUUACUGGGCUUAAAGGGUCCGUAGGCGGUGUCCCAAGUCCCCCGUCGAAAGACUGCCCGCCUCAACGGGACGAGAGGUCGGGGGAGGACUGGGACGACUUGAGGGCGGGAGAGGCCAGCGGAACGGCGGGUGUAGCGGUGAAAUGCGUCGAUAUCCGCCGGAACACCAGUGGCGAAGGCGGCUGGCUGGAACGCCCCUGAG
Molecule: ribosomal RNA, 227 nt
Filed under: uncultured bacterium
Lineage: Bacteria
Description: partial 16S ribosomal RNA
Rfam family: Bacterial small subunit ribosomal RNA
Source: RNAcentral